UACAGAGGGUGCGAGCGUUGUCCGGAAUCACUGGGCGUAGAGGGCGCGUAGGCGGCUUGAUAAGGUUGCGGUGAAAGCCCGGGGCUCAACCCCGGGUCGGCCGUGGCAACUGUCGAGCUGGAGCACUGUAGAGGCAGGUGGAAUUCCGGGUGUAGCGGUGGAAUGCGUAGAGAUCCGGAAGAACACCGGUGGCGAAGGCGGCCUGCUGGGCAGUGGCUGACGCUGAGGCGCGACAGCGUGGGGAGCAAAACGG
Molecule: ribosomal RNA, 253 nt
Filed under: uncultured bacterium
Lineage: Bacteria
Description: partial 16S ribosomal RNA
Rfam family: Bacterial small subunit ribosomal RNA
Source: RNAcentral